RNAcentral lists this ribosomal RNA (482 nucleotides) under uncultured bacterium. Its description in RNAcentral is "partial 16S ribosomal RNA". It matches the Rfam family "Bacterial small subunit ribosomal RNA", at positions 30 to 507 of the family's 1533-position model. The record is from RNAcentral.
AUUGAACGCUGGCGGCAUGCUUUACACAUGCAAGUCGAACGGUAACAGGCCGCAAGGUGCUGACGAGUGGCGAACGGGUGAGUAAUGCAUCGGAACGUGCCCAGUCGUGGGGGAUAACUACUCGAAAGAGUAGCUAAUACCGCAUACGAUCUAUGGAUGAAAGCGGGGGACCGUAAGGCCUCGCGCGAUUGGAGCGGCCGAUGUCAGAUUAGGUAGUUGGUGGGGUAAAGGCUCACCAAGCCAACGAUCUGUAGCUGUUCUGAGAGGACGACCAGCCACACUGGGACUGAGACACGGCCCAGACUCCUACGGGAGGCAGCAGUGGGGAAUUUUGGACAAUGGGCGAAAGCCUGAUCCAGCAAUGCCGCGUGCAGGAAGAAGGACUUCGGGUUGUAAACUGCUUUUGUACGGAACGAAAAGGCUCUGGUUAAUACCCGGGGCUAAUGACGGUACCGAAAGAAUAAGCACCGGCUAACUACGUG